GCGGGCUUAGUAUAGUGGUAGUACGUGAGCUUCCCAAGCUCAAAACGCGGGUUCAAUUCCCGUAGCCCGCUCCA
RNAcentral lists this transfer RNA (74 nucleotides) under Actinomycetes bacterium. RNAcentral's name for it is "tRNA-Gly". It matches the Rfam family "tRNA". Rfam says of the family: Transfer RNA (tRNA) molecules are approximately 80 nucleotides in length. Their secondary structure includes four short double-helical elements and three loops (D, anti-codon, and T loops). Lineage: Bacteria; Bacillati; Actinomycetota; Actinomycetes. The record is from RNAcentral.